UGUAGUCAUAUGCUUGUCUCAAAGAUUAAGCCAUGCAUGUCUAAGUUAAUAAUUUUACUGUGAAACUGCGAAUGGCUCAUUAUAUAAGUUAUCGUUUAUUUGAUAGUACCUUACUACAUGGAUAACCGUGGUAAUUCUAGAGCUAAUACAUGCUAAAAACCUCGACUUCGGAAGAGGUGUGUUUAUUAGAUUAAAAACCAAUGCCCUUCGGGGCUCACUGGCGAUUCAUAAUAACCUCUCGAAUCGCAUGGCCUUGCGCCGGCGAUGGUUCAUUCAAAUUUCUUCCCUAUCACUUUCGAUGCUAGAGUAGUUUCUACAGGACAACGGGUAACGGGGAAUGGGGCGGGGGCGGCGGGCCGGGCGCGGGGCGCGGCGGGCG
Molecule: ribosomal RNA, 379 nt
Filed under: Colletotrichum gloeosporioides
Lineage: Eukaryota; Fungi; Ascomycota; Sordariomycetes; Glomerellales; Glomerellaceae
Description: bacterial SSU rRNA
Rfam family: Eukaryotic small subunit ribosomal RNA
Source: RNAcentral